UCCAAGUCUCAAUUUGUCCUGCUUCCCCACGCUUCCCUUCAAUUCCCCUGGUAUAUUACCUUUCCUUUCCAGCUGUUCUCAUUUUGUUAUGUUUGUUACCUUAUCAUGUAAGGUAAUAAAUGCCUAAUUUUAUUUAUCUUUUUCACGGUAAAAAGAAAAUUAUUGUACAUUAAAAAAAAUUCACAAAAAAAUUAUGUGUAAAAUUCCUAAAUCCUAACCUUAAUUUUCAGAGUAACAGCAGCCGUGAUUUUGGGGAGGAAGGCAAGCUACACGCGGCAUCAUCACUGUUACAACAGCCCCGCACGACUAUAGUAGCAUUGCUCCGAUGUUGGCGCCUUAGAUUUCUCAAUUGGCAGUACCGUAACUAUUUGGGAACAGACGACUUUCUUUUUCCUUUUGCAAUUGGUGUGGCUAGAAAAAAAAUCACACUUGGAUCUUUCUGCUUUUGUUCAGGUUCAGACUCAGAAUCUGGGUCGGGUUCUAGAUGUUUUUCAUAACCUUUUUUUAUUUAAGAAUUCCAAGUCAAGAGGAGAGGG
This 536-nucleotide long non-coding RNA is filed under the name Citrus maxima (pomelo). RNAcentral describes it as "long non-coding RNA (CMAX_LNC002284)". Lineage: Eukaryota; Viridiplantae; Streptophyta; Magnoliopsida; Sapindales; Rutaceae. The record is from RNAcentral.